This 468-nucleotide ribosomal RNA is filed under the name uncultured bacterium. Its description in RNAcentral is "partial 16S ribosomal RNA". It matches the Rfam family "Bacterial small subunit ribosomal RNA", at positions 28 to 507 of the family's 1533-position model. The record is from RNAcentral.
GACGAACGCUGGCGGCGUGCUUAACACAUGCAAGUCGAACGGAAAGGCCCUGCUUUUGUGGGGUGCUCGAGUGGCGAACGGGUGAGUAACACGUGAGUAACCUGCCCUUGACUUUGGGAUAACUUCAGGAAACUGGGGCUAAUACCGGAUAGGAGCUCCUGCUGCAUGGUGGGGGUUGGAAAGUUUCGGCGGUUGGGGAUGGACUCGCGGCUUAUCAGCUUGUUGGUGGGGUAGUGGCUUACCAAGGCUUUGACGGGUAGCCGGCCUGAGAGGGUGACCGGCACAAUUGGGACUGAGAUCCGCCCCGGCCUCCUACGGGAGGAAGCAGUGGGAAAUAUGCAACAAUGGGCGGAGGCCUGAGCAAGAAACGCGGGGUGGGGAAGACCGGCUUCGGGGUGGUAAACGGUUUCGGCUGGGGCCGAAGCGUGAGUGCCGGAAAUGGGUAAAGAAGACCCGGUAAAUUACGUG